This 198-nucleotide ribosomal RNA is filed under the name uncultured bacterium. RNAcentral describes it as "partial 16S ribosomal RNA". It matches the Rfam family "Bacterial small subunit ribosomal RNA", at positions 328 to 539 of the family's 1533-position model. The record is from RNAcentral.
ACGCUCGACACCUACGGGUGGCAGCAGUGGGGAAUAUUGCACAAUGGAGGAAACUCUGAUGCAGCGAUGCCGCGUGAGGGAAGAAGGUUUUCGGAUUGUAAACCUCUGUCUUUGGGGACGAUAAUGACGGUACCCAAGGAGGAAGCUCCGGCUAACUACGUGUCAGCAGCCGCGGUAAUCUGAGCGGGCUGGCAAGGC